This 223-nucleotide ribosomal RNA is filed under the name Priestia megaterium. RNAcentral's name for it is "Bacillus megaterium partial 23S ribosomal RNA". It matches the Rfam family "Bacterial large subunit ribosomal RNA", at positions 1121 to 1345 of the family's 2925-position model. The record is from RNAcentral. Lineage: Bacteria; Bacillati; Bacillota; Bacilli; Caryophanales; Bacillaceae.
AUUUAAAGAGUGCGUAAUAGCUCACUGGUCGAGUGACUCUGCGCCGAAAAUGUACCGGGGCUAAACGUAUCACCGAAGCUGUGGAUUGACAUCUUAGAUGUCAGUGGUAGGAGAGCGUUCUAAGUGCUGUGAAGUCAGACCGUAAGGACUGGUGGAGCGCUUAGAAGUGAGAAUGCCGGUAUGAGUAGCGAAAGACAAGUGAGAAUCUUGUCCACCGAAUGCC